This 147-nucleotide ribosomal RNA is filed under the name uncultured archaeon. RNAcentral describes it as "partial 16S ribosomal RNA". It matches the Rfam family "Archaeal small subunit ribosomal RNA", at positions 326 to 477 of the family's 1478-position model. The record is from RNAcentral.
CGGGGUGCAGCAGGCGCGAAAACUUUACAAUGCGGGCAACCGUGAUAAGGGAACCUCGAGUGCCUGUAUAUGCAGGCUGUCCAGGUGUCUAAAACACACCUGAAGAAAGGGCCGGGCAAGACCGGUGCCAGCCGCCGCGGUAAUACA